Thalassophryne amazonica is the source of this 220-nucleotide long non-coding RNA. RefSeq lists it as uncharacterized. NCBI's taxonomy places the organism in Eukaryota, Metazoa, Chordata, Actinopteri, Batrachoidiformes, Batrachoididae. The transcript has 4 exons. The record is from RefSeq and is a predicted model, not a curated record.
UGAAAUUGUUUGAGGUGAUUGAGACAGAGAAGACACUUUAUUUGGUGAUGGAGUAUGCCAGUGGUGGAGAGGUAUUUGACUAUCUGGUAGCUCAUGGCAGAAUGAAGGAGAAGGAGGCCAGGUCCAAGUUCAGACAGAUUGUAUCCGCAGUGCAGUAUUGUCACCAGAGAGGAUAGUACACCGGGAUCUAAAAGCUGAAAACCUGUUGUUAGAUGCAGAC